This is a long non-coding RNA of Gymnogyps californianus (California condor), 1101 nucleotides long. RefSeq lists it as uncharacterized. Lineage: Eukaryota; Metazoa; Chordata; Aves; Accipitriformes; Cathartidae. The transcript is spliced from 2 exons. The record is from RefSeq and is a predicted model, not a curated record.
UGUUGUACCUGUGUCUCUGGCUCUAUUUUCUAGAUGGACUUUAGACCCAUGUUGUAGCUAUGCCUCCAGACUUGUCCUUGGCUCCUCUCCUCUUGCUCCUGGGUGGGCUCUGGACUUGGGUCGUUGCAAGCUGGACCUGGGACUGGUGGUGGAUGCUGUAACCAGCACCUGGCUGUGCUCAGACCUAGUGGGACUCUGCCUGCUGGUGAGGAUGAGAUCUCUGCUGGGGUCAUCUUGGCUGCCCUUCCCUUAGGGAGCAGCUGGCCUGCCCUGCUCCCUGAUGGGCCCAUCGUCUUGUCGCAAGAGAAUGCCAGUAGGUACCGUGAGCAGCAGCAGAAUGUGGGUGCUGAGGCGCAAUAAAUAUCUCCAGGUAAUGAGCACCGCAGUCACUUGCUCCAUGGUGGAAAGGAGCCGCAAAGGCUUUGCUGGACGACUUCAGAGCAUCCAGCGCUGGGUGUUGGUGAUGGAUGAUGAUUUAAAGCCCAUUUUUGCAGGGAAUAACGGCUCAUAACCGUCCCCUCUCCUUUAAGUGUGCGACACCACUGAGAUUUAUGGUCUCCUUGUUUCCACCUUAUGGGAAGUGUUUUAUUAAUCGUCCCUGUGCUUGCUCCUGAACCCAUGUGUGCUGCAGUGUGCAGAUGCUUCAAAUGCAGUGAAGAGGAGGUGGCAGUGCGGGAUGCGGCUCCUGGGGAAAGCAGCCGGAGCAGCAGGGAUGGGUGCUUCCCGAGACCUUUCCAAGGAUCUGAAACCUUCAGCCCUGGCAGGCACCGUCUGCCCACAGGCCGAGGGAGCCUGGCUCAGCCCAGGCUGCUUUGCCGGGGGAUAACCAGGACUGCAAGUCUGUGCCUAGGGCCUGUGCAUCCCUGGGGAGGAGGUGGCGGAUGGAGCUGCCCCAUUGCUGCCUGCACGGUCCCCCUCUGGCACCCCAUGCCGGUGGCUUUAUUCUUACCUAAAUCCCUGCUUGGACACCUGGAAAGGCUCCUGCUCAGGUCAUUAGAGAUGACUGCUUCUAGAAAGGGUCCUUGGGACGCUGCUGCCCUCGGCGUCCCAGCCCGGUCGUAGCCGAGCUGGUGGCACUAAAAACUUUAUGUUCCCUUCACA